CCCAACCCAAUUCCAAAUAAUCCUUUCCAGAAUCGAUCCCAGGCCCAUUUAACUCUUUACAUCCGACCCAACCCAAUUUAUUCGAAAGGAUCCCACGGUAGACGCUUAUUGCAGAAAGAAAUAAACCGACCUUCCUCGUUCUUCUUCUUCCUCGUAGUGAGUCUGCCUCACGCGCUGCGGAAGUGCGGAAAAUGCAGCUUUAGCAAAAAGCAGUGAUAAAACGCGACCAAUCGUGUGCCUGACCGUUUCUAGUCGUCUUCCUCGCUACAUCAUCAAUUCUUACGUUUUCAGCAGAGAGGAUUCUUCCUUCGCAGGCCAGGUGGAGCAAUCUUCGCCAUCGUUCGUCCUUGAGGCGAAAUCGGACGACUCUCGUUUUGUUUUUUUGUUGAGAAAUUUUACAAUUUUCCUACUAUUGACAGCUUCAACCUUAUCUCUUCGUGGAUUUGAAUUUCAAAAUGGGGAAGAGAUCCCGAUUUCGCCCCAAUCUUUUGGGGAAUUUCUCCCGCUUUCUUCAUCCCAAAACCCUGGAAGACCCCUAUCGGUCCUAGGCUUUUUAUUAGUUAGUCCUGGUAAAGCCCCAGGCGUCGUAUUUUUUUGAAACGAGGCUCUCGGUAACGCGACAUAAAGACAUAGAAUGCAAUGUAAGGGUUACGACGGAUGGACCUUACUAAGGCAAUUUCUAAGAUAAGAUGGACGACUCGGCUGCCUUCCCGGUAAAAAUCUUUCCCCACGGUUGCAACAAGAAAGCAAAAGCCCGUCGUACCUAGCGCCAUCUGAAUAGUUUUCAAAGCAAGCAAGUAUACAAGAAACAUUUCGAAUUCUUAGCCAAGACGCUUCAGCUUUAGUUCCAAGAGAACAGGGAAUCAAAUUUCAGUCUGAGUCAAACAUCGGGUAUUAUUUCUCUAUUUAUUAUUCGUAGCCAGAGUUAGGGUGGUGGAAGUUGUGUUCUCGAGUUCGUUUCUAGCAAGUUUCGCUGCACCAUAAAAAGGUAAACCACUGGUAAUAUUUUUCUUUUUGCUUGUUUCGACUUCUCUGUGUUCUUUUUGUUUGCUAUUGCUAUAAGAAUCGUUAGUAGUUUAUUGUUAAACAUAUCUAAAUCUAAGGCCGUUUUUUCACUGUUAGAUUUUGUUCAGUUAGUAUUUUGAGUUUCGCUGUUUCAAUCUAUUCUAUUUUGUUAAUUGAAAAUAUGACCCUAAUAUGUGUGUGGGCUGUGUGUAUAUUGAUCAUUUAUUUAGCCUAAAAAUGCUAUUGCGUCAAGUAUUCAUGGCUGCAUUUAAUUAGCAUUCACAUCGUUUUACUCGUCUUAAGUGUAUUGCUUCUUCAUCAUCCUUUGUUCUCCUUUUUUUUGGCUUUUGUUUUGAUAUUUAAAAUGUUUCCAAUCCCUUAAAAGCUGUCCUAGCGUCUGAUGUGUUGCCUUCAUGAGAGUUAUUGCCUAGAGUUUUUUUCUCAUUGGGUUAAUAUGAAGAUUGCAUGCUAUUUCUAAUAUCUUAGUUAUUUCUAAUAAUAUUGAUUCAUGGGAUGAAGGCAUUUUGUCGAUAGGUUGCAAUUCUGUUGAUUUCUUUCCCGUAAUUUCGAAACUCACUAUAUCGUUUUGUCAUAUCACAUAAUUUAGCAUGUUUUUAUCUUUUUUUUGUUUUCCUUUUGUUUUCAUUCUUAAGAUAGUCAAAUUCUAAUUUAUUUCCUUGAGGCAUGUGAACUAUGACCUGUAUUCUGUUCUCUUGUUCUUGAAAUCCCUCUCUUCUCGUUUUUCUUUUGACUAUUUUCAAAUGGGGUUGUAUGAGUCUGCAUAUUGAUUCUUAGUAAUAGUAGAUUAUCAAAAACAACUUAUUGUUUCGUAGUGCCUUUUCGCAUUCUUAAAGGCCAUGAGUAAGUUUGCCAUAGUUCUUUAGUUGUUAUAUAGUUUUCAGUUCAUGUUAUGUGUUUUCUGCUAGUUUGAGAUAUGCUUAAUUGACACAUAUAGCAAAGUUUCAUUUUCUGCUUGGAAUAUGCUACCGCAAAAUUGCUGACCAGAUUUGGCAUACGAAAUUGGAUUGAAUUUUUUUUAAACUCUUGAAUGUUGCUUGCCUACAUAUAGUUAUCCUAUUUUACUUAUUAGCUGUGGUAUGUGUACUGAUCCAAGGAUCAAACUCAUCAGUUUAUUCAUGCCAUAAAAUAUUUGCUUGGCUAUAUGAAGCUUGUGUCCAGUUAUCUUGUUAUAGGAAAAGCAUGUUGUGAGAAUUUUUUAGGAAAUGAAAAGGAAAAAUCGAUCCAUGCACUUUGUUCAUCUUUAAUUUAUUUUUCAUAUACUCAUUCUGAUUAAAUUUUCCGCUUAUUACAUUUUCUAUUACCUGUUGGGUUCUAGCAAUAAUUGAAUUUAAUUUGCAUAUGGGAGUUAAUCAUUAAGUUUCUUUCCAAAUUUAGAUAAUGUAAAUUUUUGAAUAUUGUCUUUCCUUGGUGUGUCAUUAUUUUAUUCCAUGGCUAUGUUUUAUGGAAUAUCACAUCUUUGGACAGAGCAUGGUCAUUUUUAGUUAUCACUGAAGCGAUUUUCCCCUAGAACAUAUUGAUUAGUUUGUUCAAUUCUUAACCAUCUGGAAUCACUGUAAUCUUUUAUCUUUAGAAAGUGAUUUUUUGGUGCUUGCAUGUGAAAAAAUAAUAAAUAAAUUCACCGUCAAGUUUGCUUGUCUAAAAUAGCUUGUUCUGAAUUUGUCCGCUUUUAAUAAAAACUGAUAGCUUUCCUUAAUUAGUUGUUUCUUUGUUCGAUAAAUACUAAUCCUUUUAUCAUUUUUGCAUUUAAAAUCCGUUCGAGUUCCAUCAUGAACUCACGCUCCCCUUGCAUUAUUGGAGAGUCGUAAAGACUCAUAAUUCCUCUUUUCGAGUCAAUCCAUAAAGAUGAUUAACGGACUUUGGAGUCGAAAAUUGAAGCAAGUCGGAAGAGUUGAAGAGAUUGGGACAAUUAACCCAAGUUUAUUUUAUUAUCGUAUUGUAUUUAUAUUGGAUAUCAGCCUUUGUCGCUUUUUAUUUUUUGUAUUUAUUAUUUGUUAAGACUAAGACAGGUAUGUAAGAAAAUGGGUCGAAAACCCAAAAAGUCAAAUGGGUCAAAACCCAAAAACAGGUGGGUCCAAAUGCCGGUCAAGGCAAACUUCAAACCCGGAUUUUGACCCAAA
Molecule: long non-coding RNA, 3143 nt
Organism: Solanum lycopersicum (tomato)
Lineage: Eukaryota; Viridiplantae; Streptophyta; Magnoliopsida; Solanales; Solanaceae
Source: RefSeq, a predicted model, not a curated record